RNAcentral lists this small RNA (1461 nucleotides) under uncultured Solirubrobacterales bacterium. RNAcentral's name for it is "bacterial SSU rRNA". The stretch from base 1 to 493 matches the Rfam family "Bacterial small subunit ribosomal RNA", at positions 1045 to 1533 of the family's 1533-position model. The record is from RNAcentral. Lineage: Bacteria; Bacillati; Actinomycetota; Thermoleophilia; Solirubrobacterales.
AUGGCUGUCGUCAGCUCGUGUCGUGAGAUGUUGGGUUAAGUCCCGCAACGAGCGCAACCCCCGUUCCAUGUUGCCAGCAUUCAGUUGGGGACUCAUGGGAGACUGCCGGUGACAAACCGGAGGAAGGUGGGGAUGACGUCAAGUCAUCAUGCCCCUUAUGUCCAGGGCUACACACGUGCUACAUUGGCGCAUACAAAGGGUUGCAAUACCGUGAGGUGGAGCGAAUCCCAUAAAGUGCGUCUCGGUUCGGAUUGGAGGCUGAAACUCGCCUCCAUGAAGGUGGAGUUGCUAGUAAUCGCGGAUCAGCAAUGCCGCGGUGAAUACGUUCCCGGGCCUUGUACACACCGCCCGUCACACCACGGGAGUGAGCAACACCCGAAGCCGGUGGCCUAACCCGCAAGGGAGGGAGCCGUCGAAGGUGGGGCUCGUGACUGGGGUGAAGUCGUAAGCAAGUUGCGACCCGCGUCGGUAACGACGCGUGAAAAACUCGGCUGUAUGCUGGAAACUCCGAGUAUCCUCGACUACUCGCCGUGCGCGACGGAUUGUUCCGUCGCACGGGGCAGUGAAAAUGUUGGGGUGCGGACAAUCAGCAGGGAAGUCGCGUCGCCGCCCAACCUGGCGGAGGCGUUGACCCCUCAGAGACUACACGCCGAGCUCCUGGCGACAAGCGCCUCAGGUGCUUGGAGCCGCGGCCUCGCAGCGAGAUUUCGUUUCUCGCGUGGGGUCUUGGCAUCCAAGGAAGCGCAGUCUGCUGGAGGCCCGUUCUGCGGGCUUCAGGCAACCAGGAUGAAGAUAUAGUCCACGCCUCAUGGCGACAUGGGGAACCACGUGAACAAGGUAGCCGUAGCGGAAGCUGCGGCUGGAUCACCUCCUUUCUAGGGAGCACCUAGCGGUGCCCCGGUCGAGGGCCAAUCGCAAGAUCGGCCCGUGCGGUCGCCGAGCCCGCCUGUGCCCAGUAUGGGUACGAGGCACGGCGAUGACAAGCAGAUCGGGCCUAGCAUGUCGACCGAACCUGGCUGGAUGGCCGUACGCCGCGCGUUCCCCUUACUACUUGGGGCGAGCAACCGGCCUCGACCGCAGCGACGCCAGCAUGCUGUUGAGUUUUGAGAGACCGGCGUCCGCCGGUGCUCGCGGGACACGUCGAACGAUCACGUGGCCGAAAUACGCGAGGAUCGGUUGGCGUAGUCGCCUCUCCACGGUCCUUGAAAACUGCACAGAAGCCACAUCAGCCGCCAUCGAUAAGCGGCGGCUGAAAAACGGGUAUCACCGGGCCCUGCAGGACCUCGCGUGCCCAGAAAUGGGUAUCGGGUCAUGCUGGGCCAGAUCACCGUCAAGAUAGUAAGGGCACACGGUGGAUGCCUUGGCACCAAGAGUCGAAGAAGGGCGUGAACGGCUGCGAUAAGCCACGGUUAGGCGCUUAAUAGCCUUUUGACCCGUGGAUUCCCGAAUGGGGAAACCCGG